This 233-nucleotide ribosomal RNA is filed under the name uncultured bacterium. Its description in RNAcentral is "partial 16S ribosomal RNA". It matches the Rfam family "Bacterial small subunit ribosomal RNA", at positions 118 to 351 of the family's 1533-position model. The record is from RNAcentral.
UGAGCAAUCUGCCCUUCUCUUUGGAAUAAGCGUUGGAAACGACGUCUAAUGCCGAAUACGACCUCCUUUCGCAUGAUCGGAGGUGGAAAGCUCCGGCGGAGAAGGAUGAGCUCGCGGCCUAUCAGCUAGUUGGUGUGGGUAAUGGCCCACCAAGGCGACGACGGGUAGCCGGCCUGAGAGGGCGACCGGCCACACUGGGACUGAGGCACGGCCCAGACUCCUACGGGAGGNAG